GCAAAACUGUGUUGAAUGAACUGUAGAUGGAAAUUCUCUCCUUCCCACCGAGGAGCCGCUGCAGGUUGCAGACUCCCAGAAUGCCACACUGAGAAGAGGAGGGCUAAAAUUCUAGAGCAGAAUCCCUGGGGCAGCCCCUGCUGAAGAAGGGUGCAUCUGUUGAGAAUCUCAUCACCGCCCCCACCCCGCCCAGCCUUCAAUUUAGAGGAAUUUCUAGUUCACGCAGAAUGAAGACAAGAUCACAUAAGUGAGGACGACGCCCCAUUUACAAGUGUGAUUUGGAAGACUGAAGUGGAAACCUUGGGAAGGUGGGCCUCAGAGUAUGUCAGCUGGGGUCAGACGGGAACAGGAGUCUGGCUCAACACACAUUUAUUGCACUCCUGUUUCAUGCCAAGAAAUGUACCAAAAUCUGGGACUGUGUAACACAGCAAAGGAAAAGACUCAUCUCCAGGAAGCCCCCUUGUCUAGGAAGAGAAAUUGAAUAUCAGCAUAAGGUGGUGAAAAGCUGUGAAGGAGAUGAGUGCCAGGAGUCCAUGGAGGAAGGAUUCUAGCCUGGACAGGUGAUUGUGGUGAAUAGUCAUGAGAAUCUGGGAACUGGCUCCUGCUCUGUCUAUCUUGGAGAUGCAUCUUUUGUGAGAAGCCAGGGCAAGAAUAGGGAGGCUUAGGCAAUGGGAAGUUUCUGAGUAGAUAAAGCAGAUGGCAGAGCAAAGGGACAGAGCCUGGCGAGAGGCUACUCCCUGUAGCAACCUGCCUAAGAGUGAGAGGAAAGCAAGGCAUGGCUAUGAGCACGUGUAGUCUCAGCUACUUGGGAAGCUGAGGCUGGGGGAUCACUUGAGCCCAGGAGUUCAAGACCAGCCUAGGCAACAUAGUGAGACCAU
This 878-nucleotide long non-coding RNA is filed under the name Homo sapiens (human). RNAcentral's name for it is "non-protein coding LINC01206:40". Lineage: Eukaryota; Metazoa; Chordata; Mammalia; Primates; Hominidae. The record is from RNAcentral.